This 1310-nucleotide ribosomal RNA is filed under the name Lactobacillus gasseri. RNAcentral's name for it is "bacterial SSU rRNA". It matches the Rfam family "Bacterial small subunit ribosomal RNA", at positions 93 to 1391 of the family's 1533-position model. The record is from RNAcentral. Lineage: Bacteria; Bacillati; Bacillota; Bacilli; Lactobacillales; Lactobacillaceae.
GAGCGGCGGACGGGUGAGUAACACGUGGGUAACCUGCCCAAGAGACUGGGAUAACACCUGGAAACAGAUGCUAAUACCGGAUAACAACACUAGACGCAUGUCUAGAGUUUAAAAGAUGGUUCUGCUAUCACUCUUGGAUGGACCUGCGGUGCAUUAGCUAGUUGGUAAGGUAACGGCUUACCAAGGCAAUGAUGCAUAGCCGAGUUGAGAGACUGAUCGGCCACAUUGGGACUGAGACACGGCCCAAACUCCUACGGGAGGCAGCAGUAGGGAAUCUUCCACAAUGGACGCAAGUCUGAUGGAGCAACGCCGCGUGAGUGAAGAAGGGUUUCGGCUCGUAAAGCUCUGUUGGUAGUGAAGAAAGAUAGAGGUAGUAACUGGCCUUUAUUUGACGGUAAUUACUUAGAAAGUCACGGCUAACUACGUGCCAGCAGCCGCGGUAAUACGUAGGUGGCAAGCGUUGUCCGGAUUUAUUGGGCGUAAAGCGAGUGCAGGCGGUUCAAUAAGUCUGAUGUGAAAGCCUUCGGCUCAACCGGAGAAUUGCAUCAGAAACUGUUGAACUUGAGUGCAGAAGAGGAGAGUGGAACUCCAUGUGUAGCGGUGGAAUGCGUAGAUAUAUGGAAGAACACCAGUGGCGAAGGCGGCUCUCUGGUCUGCAACUGACGCUGAGGCUCGAAAGCAUGGGUAGCGAACAGGAUUAGAUACCCUGGUAGUCCAUGCCGUAAACGAUGAGUGCUAAGUGUUGGGAGGUUUCCGCCUCUCAGUGCUGCAGCUAACGCAUUAAGCACUCCGCCUGGGGAGUACGACCGCAAGGUUGAAACUCAAAGGAAUUGACGGGGGCCCGCACAAGCGGUGGAGCAUGUGGUUUAAUUCGAAGCAACGCGAAGAACCUUACCAGGUCUUGACAUCCAGUGCAAACCUAAGAGAUUAGGAGUUCCCUUCGGGGACGCUGAGACAGGUGGUGCAUGGCUGUCGUCAGCUCGUGUCGUGAGAUGUUGGGUUAAGUCCCGCAACGAGCGCAACCCUUGUCAUUAGUUGCCAUCAUUAAGUUGGGCACUCUAAUGAGACUGCCGGUGACAAACCGGAGGAAGGUGGGGAUGACGUCAAGUCAUCAUGCCCCUUAUGACCUGGGCUACACACGUGCUACAAUGGACGGUACAACGAGAAGCGAACCUGCGAAGGCAAGCGGAUCUCUGAAAGCCGUUCUCAGUUCGGACUGUAGGCUGCAACUCGCCUACACGAAGCUGGAAUCGCUAGUAAUCGCGGAUCAGCACGCCGCGGUGAAUACGUUCCCGGGCCUUGUACACACC